Acanthosepion pharaonis is the source of this 113-nucleotide non-coding RNA. Lineage: Eukaryota; Metazoa; Mollusca; Cephalopoda; Sepiida; Sepiidae. The record is from the annotation of a GenBank genome assembly.
UUAUGGCCAUAUCACGUUGAAACUCCGGUUCUUAUACGAUCACCGAAGUUAAGCAACGUCGAGCCCGGUCAGUACCAAGAUAGUGACAACUGGGAAAUACCAGUUGCUGUAAG